CCUGGUAUAUUCCUACCAGUCCCUAUGCGGGCGUGCUUGCCACGCGCUGUGUGGUCGGUGCGAAGCCCCGUUGACAAAGGAUCGAACUGGGUCGGAUUGGUGACAUGAAGACCCCUCAGGAAAUCCUCUCCUGUUAAGGCC
This is a non-coding RNA of Candidatus Magnetomorum sp. HK-1, 141 nucleotides long. NCBI's taxonomy places the organism in Bacteria, Pseudomonadati, Thermodesulfobacteriota, Desulfobacteria, Desulfobacterales, Candidatus Magnetomoraceae. The record is from Rfam.